UACGUACUGGGAAGGCACAUAAAUGGGUC
This 29-nucleotide small RNA is filed under the name Bombyx mori (domestic silkworm). RNAcentral's name for it is "ovarian small RNA-21154". The record is from RNAcentral. Lineage: Eukaryota; Metazoa; Arthropoda; Insecta; Lepidoptera; Bombycidae.